This 482-nucleotide ribosomal RNA is filed under the name uncultured bacterium. RNAcentral's name for it is "bacterial SSU rRNA". It matches the Rfam family "Bacterial small subunit ribosomal RNA", at positions 28 to 532 of the family's 1533-position model. The record is from RNAcentral.
GAUGAACGCUGGCGGCGUGCUUAACACAUGCAAGUCGAACGUGAGAAUAGCAAUAUUUGAAAGUGGCAAACGGGUGAGUAACACGUGGGAACCUGCCUCGAAGUGGGGGAUAACGAUUGGAAACGGUCGCUAAUACCGCACGGUUCUGCUCUGAUGGGAAUGGAGCAGAUAAAGAUUUAUCGCUUUGAGAGGGGCCCGCGGCCGAUUAGCUAGUUGGUAAGGUAAAGGCUUACCAAGGCGAUUAUCGGUAGCUGGUCUGAGAGGACGAUCAGCCACACGGGAACUGAGACACGGUCCCGACUCCUACGGGGGGCAGCAGUGAGGAAUAUUGGGCAAUGGGCGAAAGCCUGACCCAGCAACGCCGCGUGGAGGAUGAAGGCUUUAGGGUUGUAAACUCCUUUUGUGGGGGAAAAGAAUGGAUGGUACCCCAAGAAUAAGUCACGGCUAACUACGUGCCAGCAGCCGCGAUAAAGCACGACUGU